UCUCUCUCUCUCUCUCUCUCUCUCUCUCUCUCUCUCUCUCUCUCUCCCUCUGUGACCUGAAACAGGAUCGUACCUUGGAACCAUCGUCGUACAAGUGUAUGCGUGCGAGUGAGAGUCGUCCUAGGCCGGCAUGUACACAUAGCAGAAGAACGAACUGCCGCUAGGCCGCGUCCAAGUCCGUCCGUAUACGGCACUCGAGGAUCUCCCCAGCUCGAACGUCACACCGGCACGACUAUUCUCCACUCACCGGAUUCGGCGAGGAGGACGUAUUCGGGAAAACGGGUUCGUGUUCCCUUAACAGCGGUAACGUACAGUGAGUGGCACACGACAUGUACGAACACAUCAUCAUAUACGUCACGUCCCCACGGGCCGUCCGAUCACCAGCCAUCACGCCGGUGGUGAGGCCGGGUCUGUUGCGCACGCGCACAGGUUCUUGCGGAAAGGGGGGCCGAGUGUGCUGUCACCACUUAGGUGGUAGGCGAGCAGUGUGCCACGCACGGAGUGAAGAGAGGGAACGUCCCCUCUUAGGAGACGAGGCGCCGCUGCUCGAGGCCGCCAAACCCCCACCGCAACGCGCGCGCGUACGUCGUCUACCGGUGGUGGCAGUGCGACGACGAGCCCCGUCGGAGCAGGGGGCCACUACCGCGGCGCGCCCUGCCGCAGGUCACGAGGGCGUACAACGGAUCCUCCUCCGUCGUCUCCGGCGCCACCCACGAGACGAGCGAGUUCAUGCCGACGGAGCCGCAGCCGCUCGGCCCCCUCCGCCCUUGGGCCUCGCGCCGCAGCGGCCAGAUGAGGUCGGAGUGGCAGUCGGGGCCGCCGCUCCGCCGGCAGCGGCAGCAGAGGAGCCUCGUCUUCCACAUGCUGCACCACGACUUCGUCCGCCGUAACGAGUUCGCGGUCGAGGCCGGUGUCGUCCGCCGCGGCGGGCGGCAUCGGUCCCUCGACCUGCGCGGCGCGCCACCCGAGCCCUUCCGGAUGCGGGCGACGCCGCUCUAGACGCUCCUCAUGCGGUUCUGGAAGAUGGAGCCCUGGAACGACUACUGUCUCCUCGCCGCUGCGCGGUAUACCCGGUAGAUGCACACCACGUCCUCCUGUCUGCUCGACCACCUGCCAGGGUUGCGCAGCGUGUAGUGCGGCGUCCGCGACCUGGCCACCCUCUCCUCCGACCUCCUGGAGAAGCGGCCCGCGGGGAUGCUGUACGAGCUGCGGCGCGAGAGGCUGUGGUAGUGGUUCAAGGGGUAUCUAUAAGUCGGGAAGUUCCUGUACUAGCUGCCCUACGCCUGCCUGGAGUUCUUCCGUUCUAUGUUCUUGAAGCUACUCGAGAUGUACAUGACGAUGAUGCAGCGUCCGUGCCACCCCGACUACUCGCAGGGCCACUACCCGUAACGCGGGCUCAGGUUCCGCUGCCGACUCUCGCAGAUGCCGCGGCGAGACCGAGAGCCCAACCGCUUGGUCGAGUGGUUGUAUGAGUCCCUACAGCCUCUUCUACGUUCUUCUCCUUCCUAUAUAAACGGCGUUCUGCUCGAGCGCCUCCGUCCCGAGAGGCUACUUCUGUAGCAGUUUCCUCAGCAGUGACUGUUCACCUCCUUUAAGUACUUCUCCGUCUAGUUCUCCCGUUCCUACAAGAAGCUCCUCCGUCUCGCUCCCCACUGGCUCGAGUCCUUCCUCUCGGCCACCGGCCAAACCCGGAGAGACAACAACAUGGCCGUCUAGGAGCUACUCUAGCUUCGCUUGCUGAUGUUGUUGAAGUGGUUCUCCCGGAUACAACCUUUCCGCUUCUUUCACAACCGCGAGGGACAGCGUAUGCCCUUUAGCGACGAGAAUGGCAGAAGUGACUCUUUAUUGGUCUGGAUCUUCUUUGUUGUUUCGUUCUACUUCUACCAGUCCAAUCCUAUCUAUCUUGCUUUUUCCCGUCACAACGCUGUAGACGGAACCUCGAGAAGUAGGUCAAUCAACCGGUUCGUUGUUACGCCACUUAGCUAGCCAUGUAAGGAGUCGCUAGUUACAACGUACGUAUUGUACUUCAAGACCCCUUCCUUCCCUCUUCUUGUGACGUCGGUUGGCUCUACCUCUGGUUUACAAACGUACAUAUAAUAAUAAGAUCUUGUACACGUAAACUUCUGUCUUGUUGUACAUAUAUAUAUGAGCAACAGCCAGGGCUUAAGCCCUUUGUACAUACAAUAAGACAUUCGCAUAUAUAAGCUUGUUAUACCAAACCUUACGUUUUGACUCUUUUAUGCUGCGACAAAGAUUUGAAAUCUUCCUGUACGGCAAGUUCC
RNAcentral lists this ribosomal RNA (2282 nucleotides) under Triticum aestivum (bread wheat). Its description in RNAcentral is "partial small subunit ribosomal RNA". The record is from RNAcentral. Lineage: Eukaryota; Viridiplantae; Streptophyta; Magnoliopsida; Poales; Poaceae.